This 337-nucleotide unclassified non-coding RNA is filed under the name soil metagenome. RNAcentral's name for it is "partial contains 5.8S ribosomal RNA, internal transcribed spacer 2, and large subunit ribosomal RNA". The stretch from base 1 to 120 matches the Rfam family "5.8S ribosomal RNA", at positions 35 to 154 of the family's 154-position model. The record is from RNAcentral.
GAUGAAGAACGUAGCGAAAUGCGAUAAGUAAUGUGAAUUGCAGAAUUCAGUGAAUCAUCGAAUCUUUGAACGCACAUUGCGCCCGGUAGUAUUCUGCCGGGCAUGCCUGUUCGAGCGUCAUUUCAACCAUCAAGCCCCAGCGCUUGUGUUGGGGGCCUGCGGCUGCCGCAGCCCCCUAAAAGCAGUGGCGGGCUCGCUAUCACAACGAGUGCAGUAGUUCAUCUUCUCUCCGGUCUUGUGAGGCGGGUUCCGGCAGUGAAACACCCCACUACAUUCAAGGUUGACCUCGGAUCAGGUAGGAAUACCCGCUGAACUUAAGCAUAUCAUAAGCGGAGGA